AUUGAACGCUGGCGGCAUGCUUUACACAUGCAAGUCGAACGGCAGCACAGGGAGCUUGCUCCUGGGUGGCGAGUGGCGAACGGGUGAGUAAUGUAUCGGAACGUGCCUGGUAGUGGGGGAUAACUACUCGAAAGAGUGGCUAAUACCGCAUGAGAUCUUUGGAUGAAAGCGGGGGACCUUCGGGCCUCGUGCUACUGGAGCGGCCGAUAUCAGAUUAGGUUGUUGGUGGGGUAAAGGCCUACCAAGCCUGCGAUCUGUAGCUGGUCUGAGAGGACGACCAGCCACACUGGGACUGAGACACGGCCCAGACUCCUACGGGAGGCAGCAGUGGGGAAUUUUGGACAAUGGGCGCAAGCCUGAUCCAGCAAUGCCGCGCGCAGGACGAAGGCCUUCGGGUUGUAAACUGCUUUUGUACAGAACGAAAAGUCUCUGGCUAAUAUCUAGAGAUCAUGACGGUACUGUAAGAAUAAGCACCGGCUAACUACGUG
Molecule: ribosomal RNA, 488 nt
Filed under: uncultured bacterium
Lineage: Bacteria
Description: partial 16S ribosomal RNA
Rfam family: Bacterial small subunit ribosomal RNA
Source: RNAcentral